AAAUUGAAGAGUUUGAUCAUGGCUCAGAUUGAACGCUGGCGGCAGGCCUAACACAUGCAAGUCGAACGGUAACAGGAAGCAGCUUGCUGCUUCGCUGACGAGUGGCGGACGGGUGAGUAAUGUCUGGGAAACUGCCUGAUGGAGGGGGAUAACUACUGGAAACGGUAGCUAAUACCGCAUAAUGUCGCAAGACCAAAGAGGGGGACCUUCGGGCCUCUUGCCAUCGGAUGUGCCCAGAUGGGAUUAGCUUGUUGGUGGGGUAACGGCUCACCAAGGCGACGAUCCCUAGCUGGUCUGAGAGGAUGACCAGCCACACUGGAACUGAGACACGGUCCAGACUCCUACGGGAGGCAGCAGUGGGGAAUAUUGCACAAUGGGCGCAAGCCUGAUGCAGCCAUGCCGCGUGUAUGAAGAAGGCCUUCGGGUUGUAAAGUACUUUCAGCGGGGAGGAAGGGAGUAAAGUUAAUACCUUUGCUCAUUGACGUUACCCGCAGAAGAAGCACCGGCUAACUCCGUGCCAGCAGCCGCGGUAAUACGGAGGGUGCAAGCGUUAAUCGGAAUUACUGGGCGUAAAGCGCACGCAGGCGGUUUGUUAAGUCAGAUGUGAAAUCCCCGGGCUCAACCUGGGAACUGCAUCUGAUACUGGCAAGCUUGAGUCUCGUAGAGGGGGGUAGAAUUCCAGGUGUAGCGGUGAAAUGCGUAGAGAUCUGGAGGAAUACCGGUGGCGAAGGCGGCCCCUGGACGAAGACUGACGCUCAGGUGCGAAAGCGUGGGGAGCAAACAGGAUUAGAUACCCUGGUAGUCCACGCCGUAAACGAUGUCGACUUGGAGGUUGUGCCCUUGAGGCGUGGCUUCCGGAGCUAACGCGUUAAGUCGACCGCCUGGGGAGUACGGCCGCAAGGUUAAAACUCAAAUGAAUUGACGGGGGCCCGCACAAGCGGUGGAGCAUGUGGUUUAAUUCGAUGCAACGCGAAGAACCUUACCUGGUCUUGACAUCCACAGAACUUUCCAGAGAUGGAUUGGUGCCUUCGGGAACUGUGAGACAGGUGCUGCAUGGCUGUCGUCAGCUCGUGUUGUGAAAUGUUGGGUUAAGUCCCGCAACGAGCGCAACCCUUAUCCUUUGUUGCCAGCGGUCCGGCCGGGAACUCAAAGGAGACUGCCAGUGAUAAACUGGAGGAAGGUGGGGAUGACGUCAAGUCAUCAUGGCCCUUACGACCAGGGCUACACACGUGCUACAAUGGCGCAUACAAAGAGAAGCGACCUCGCGAGAGCAAGCGGACCUCAUAAAGUGCGUCGUAGUCCGGAUUGGAGUCUGCAACUCGACUCCAUGAAGUCGGAAUCGCUAGUAAUCGUGGAUCAGAAUGCCACGGUGAAUACGUUCCCGGGCCUUGUACACACCGCCCGUCACACCAUGGGAGUGGGUUGCAAAAGAAGUAGGUAGCUUAACCUUCGGGAGGGCGCUUACCACUUUGUGAUUCAUGACUGGGGUGAAGUCGUAACAAGGUAACCGUAGGGGAACCUGCGGUUGGAUCACCUCCUUACCUUAAAGAAGC
This 1553-nucleotide ribosomal RNA is filed under the name Shigella sonnei. RNAcentral's name for it is "bacterial SSU rRNA". It matches the Rfam family "Bacterial small subunit ribosomal RNA". The record is from RNAcentral. Lineage: Bacteria; Pseudomonadati; Pseudomonadota; Gammaproteobacteria; Enterobacterales; Enterobacteriaceae.